UUUCCUCAAUAUUAAUCCUAACAUUUACUUAUUGUUCUAUUUUCAUGCCUUCUGAUUUAGAAAUACCCCAAUGUUUAUCGCCAAAGAUGGAAGAGGAAGAUUAAAACAGUAAUUUGCAGAAAAGCCCUGCCUUCCCAGAGAUCUAGAGUGUAAUGCAACCAUAUGUUGCUGAGGAGCUCGAAUCUUGGCUGCCUUCGCCCCUCUGCACGAGCAGAAACCCCGGUUUUCAGGGGCCGUGAUCUCAUCGUGUCGCUCUCACUUUUGAAGGUCUGUUAAAAAGUCUGGGGCCUCUUAUCUUAACGGCUUUGGAAGUGAGUUUGGGGUGAGAAGGGGGGGGAGGCCUGUGGGUGUCUCUUUUGCCUGAGGAGCUGGAGACACUUGUGGAAAAGUCAGGCCCUUUUCGCUCGGGCGGCCGCUCGGGCGUGGGGCUGGCUUGGGUUAGACACAUGCACACAUACACCAUAGAGCUCUGCUUUCCCGUAGCAGCUGCUGCCUCUGCCUCUGCCUCUCCCGCCUCAGCCUCUUUGCCCGGCAUACACACACAUUCAGAUUUGCGCGCUGUUUCAAUCCUUGAUGACGUGUCCCCGGAGACAGCCAAUAGCAAACGGGCUCUGGUCAGGACAAUGGGAGGUAUCGGGCCAAUGAGCGAGCCCCGUGAGUUGGCGGUAGCCAAUAGGAGCCGCGCUGGCUGGAGAGUAAUGUUACAGAGCGGAGAGAGUGAGGAGGCUGCGUCUGGCUCCCGCUCUCACAGCCAUUGCAGUACAUUGAGCUCCAUAGAGACAGCGCCGGGGCAAGUGAGAGCCGGACGGGCACUGGGCGACUCUGUGCCUCGCGGAGG
Aethalodelphis obliquidens (Pacific white-sided dolphin) is the source of this 838-nucleotide long non-coding RNA. RefSeq lists it as uncharacterized. NCBI's taxonomy places the organism in Eukaryota, Metazoa, Chordata, Mammalia, Artiodactyla, Delphinidae. The transcript is spliced from 2 exons. The record is from RefSeq and is a predicted model, not a curated record.